CCCCGGCAUCCUUCCCUCCAAGAAUUUCCCCACCUUGCUCUUGGGGAGACUCGAACUCACAACUGUAAAGAGCAUCCUCUACAAAAACUAGCUGCAAGCCUCCAACAUUGCUGAAACUACAAAUUUUGGGGUAUGGAAAAACUUAAAGCCACUUUAGAGAGUUCCACAAGAGAAUAUAAUGAUACGUUGUAAGGCAUCAUCCCCAUUAUACAAACAAUUCAAAUAAAACACACAUGUAUCAUUUUCUGUGACGAGCAUUACCUUGUAACGAACCUCUUAAACAUAAUGACCGGUACAUGUCACAAGACAUUCAAAACAAACAAUAAAUAAGAUCAACUUAAUGAAAUGUAAAUCUUCAAACACAAUUAUGCAGUUGAAACAGCCUCUCUACCUUCUUAAGAUAGGGGUAAGGCCUACAUACACCUAUUUCACCAUACGCGCUACCUCACCACACACCACUUGUGGGAUUACACCAGGUUUGUUUGUUGUUGUAAACACAAUUAUGCAGUAAAACUUUUGUUGAUAAGGUAAAUAACUUAUACAGUAUAUAAUCCAAUGAAAUGGAGGGGGGACCUACUCCGUAGCAUAUGGUGACCAGUAACUUAUGGAUUCCCUUAAUCAUCAAGUGCACUUUACACACGGAUGACAAAGUGAAAUCACAGUACAAUUAAAAGCCUUUUGGUCAUAACAUUCACUACAAUUAACAGUAAAAUAUGCAUUCACAUGGAUUCAUAGAUGACCAGAAAGAUAAACCGUUUAUACACUUACAGAUACCACCCCCAUCAAACCACCUCCUUAGCCGGCUUCUUCAGAUCAUCAUCGACAACUUUAGUAGGAAGAAUCACAUAUCCUCCAAAUUUUUUAGGGCUAACGUCAUCAUCGAAAUCAUCGUCGUCGUCGGAAUCCUCCUCAAAAUCAAAAGCGGUGGGCCAGAACAGAGACCAGAUCAGGUACAUCAUGGCAGCAGUUAAAGCGCCACAACCAGCACCGAAAAGCAUAGCUCCCAUGACCCUCAUGAUAUCCUUUGAUCGGUCACGAAUCGAGCUUGUGACGGCCGAGUAAAACUCCAUGGGCUUCGAUACAUCUUCUUCUUCUCUUUCUAUGAGCUGAUUUUCUUCUCUUAGUAGGAAGAAUCACGUAUCCUCCCAACUUUUUAGGGCUAACGUAAUCAUCAAAAUCGUCAUCAUCGUCAGAAUCCUCCUCAAAAUCUAAAGCGGUGGGCCAGAAUAGAGACCAGAUCAGGUACAUCAUGGCAGCAGUUAAAGCGCCACAACCAGCGCCGAAAAGCAUAGCUCCCAUAACCCUCAUGAUAUCCUUUGAUCGGUCACGAAUCGAGCUUGUGACGGCCGAGUAAAACUCCAUGGGCUUCGAUACAUCUUCUUCUUCUCUUUCUAUGAGCUGAUUUUCUUCUUCGCCGCCGCCGAUACGGUCGACGAAAAUAGCGUUGCGACCACCGAGAAACUUGUUGAAUCGGACUUUGUUGUCU
This 1486-nucleotide long non-coding RNA is filed under the name Nicotiana benthamiana. RNAcentral's name for it is "long non-coding RNA (NBEN_LNC041645)". Lineage: Eukaryota; Viridiplantae; Streptophyta; Magnoliopsida; Solanales; Solanaceae. The record is from RNAcentral.